Molecule: long non-coding RNA, 4915 nt
Organism: Populus trichocarpa (black cottonwood)
Lineage: Eukaryota; Viridiplantae; Streptophyta; Magnoliopsida; Malpighiales; Salicaceae
Exons: 5
Source: RefSeq, a predicted model, not a curated record
UUUAAAACCCUCCAGUUUAACACUGAAGUCCAAAAACCCCCCAAAGCGCCAAAAUGAAAUGAAAUCAUUUUUUUUAAAAAAAAACGAAAAACCCUCUCCAAUUCAAUCCUCUUCUUCUUAAUUUUCAGGGUUUCGAGAAUUCCAAUCUACGGAAAUCCCUUUCAAUGUCAAUCCCUAAAACCGUCGAUUCCUCGCUCCGGCGAAAAAGCUGAAGGAGAAUCACGCAUGGUUGGUGGAAACUCUUUCUCUAUUUAAGAAACUGAACGCGGCAUCACGAGUGGCUUUGAAUUAGGAGAAAAUCAAAGCUGUUUCUAAUUACAUUCACCUAGUGUCCUAUAUCAGUUGCCUGAUACCUUCUGGCUUUGUGUCAGUUCAUUAUCAGACACAUUUACAUAUAGGGUUCCACGCUCCGUUUAUCACAUGGCCAAUAACAUGCUUCAUCUUUGCAUUUUUGAGUUACGUGCAGGGAAUACAGGUUGCUGCUGCCAGGGUGCUAUCUAUGUUGUUUAUCACAGCAUAUUAUAUUGAACCAAAUUCGUCUGGCAAUGUGUGCCUUGGUCUGGAUGAUAAGCAGAUCGCAGAUAUAAGGCACUCUGUAAAAAGUACAUUAGUUAAGCAGUUGGACCAGAAUGGAGAUUUAUUUGUUGCCAAAGUCAAUCUGCUUACUGCUGCAACACAUUAUCAGGUAUGUUUUAAUAGGGCUUAUUUCCUAUAUCUUUCCACUUAAAUUGGCUUCUGACACAGAACUUCACGAUCCAUUCAUACAGUUUUUUUGCAGUUAUCUCAAUACUUACUCCCUCAUGGAAAACAUCUGGAUAGCUUUUAUUUUCUGAUAAAAUCUGGUAUCUCAAUAACAGCUUUCUAGCAUUGUACAUUGUUUGCUUAUUGGUGGUUUCUCUGUUGCAGCCUUCGUAUCUUCUUGCUUUUUUUUCAGCAGCCUGAUCAAUUUAUACACUUCUUGUGAAUAUGACAAUAAAAUACCUUAUCGUACAAAGUUGUCCUUUAAAUUUUCCUCCAUUUAUUUAUUAUUUGUUUUGGUUCUAUUGAUUCUGGCACUAUAACCUUAUUGACAUACAUGUUGCUAUAUCAUUUGACUGUGACGAACCAUUUUAGGAUCUAAAAUACCUCAGGAAGCACUCACUAAUAGGUUAUCAUAUCCACAAUUACAUGCCCUUGCAACUUGCAGGUUGCCACCAGUUUGUUCAUUGUACAUGUGAUGGGGAAAUUAGUAAUCGGUAAUGCAGGAAGUUUAUCUGUAUCAUUGGUUGAGAAGAUCCGCAUCGCUUUUAACACGUGUGAUACUGUCUUUAAUUGGGCAAGCAAUUCUCUCUAUUUAGUCAAUUGUUUGAUGAGUUUUGUCCACUUUAAAGUUGAUAGUUCGUUGGCAAUCCCUUCAAGAGGUCUUUCUAGUUAUUUAUUAACAGCAAUACCUGAUUUUUGCAAUUCUAUUGUUUUAAAGUGACAUUGCAUCUUUUUAGUUUGGGUGCAACAGUUGAGCUGUCAGCUUGCCUUAUCUGAAUUGUUGGCGUUACAGGUAACUUGAGCAUGUGUUUCAUAUUUUUAUUUGAUUGUUUUUUUUUAUGCGACUCUUAACUGAGAAAUCUAUUCGUCUAGGAUUGUGGUUGCUUGAAUGGAAAUGCAUUGCAAUGGAAUUUUUCCAAAGUCCGAUGUGAAAUCACUACAUGUUCCAUUGAAUCAUUAUGGUUUUAUUGUUGGAGAGACUAUUAUUCUUGUUCUAAUUCUGAGGCUCACCUCCUUUGGUAGUUUGAUAAUUUGUGUUGGGUUCUGAUUCAUUUGAACCUGUAAGUUGAAUUCUUAUCGUUUUUCAAUAUCUUCUCAGUGAAGUAAAGGAACUAAAAGGUCUGAUGCUCACUGAUCUCUACUAUCACCUUCAAGGAAAGCUAGAGGGUUGUAAAAUUGGUCCUGGACCAUUUAAAGAACUCUCUUGGUAUCUGGUGGAAUCAAACUGUUUGCUGAGCUAUCAACACAAGUAUGGUGACGAACAUUAUGGAAAGAUUUUCACUUGUAUGAGCUCAUGCAUAUACGAUCAGAUUUGUGUUUGAAUAUGUGGGAUUAUACAGAUUGGAAAGCUUCUAAAGCAAUCACACAAACAAUGUUGGAGUGCUUGAAGGAUGCAAAUUUGAAGGUUUUAAUAGCUAGUUCAAAGCUUUCUGCUCUGAAAGCAGUUCUAACUGCUCUUAGUAUGUGUGAAGAUAAUUCACCAUAGAAUAAGGCUACUACUGAGGUGAAGAUUCCUGACCGACUCUGCUUUUCAUGCAUUGACAACAUGUGUAAAUCUUUUCUCACCACAGUAGAAUCGCUAGCUCCAGUUCUGGAUGUCUCUGAAGAGAUCUUAAUUUCCUUGCUGCAAAAGCAGAAUUAAUUCUAAAUCUCAUGAGAUCUGCGCAAAUCAACUUAUCCAGUUCUGGAUGCCUCUGAAUAGAUUAUUAAUUUCCUUGCUGCAAAAGCAGAAUUAAUUCUAAAUCUCAUGAGAUCUGCGCAAAGCAACUUAUCUUUAUCCAUUUGUACACUUUUCUUGAAAAUGUCAGGUUCUGGCCUCAAAUUGCUGAAUGGGUUCAGGUCAUCUGUGACUGGGGUUAAAACUAUAAAGCUUUUGCUCAUGCUACUGCUUCUUGCUUUGGAGAUUAGUAAAAAUCUUCAGAAAAGGAAUCUCAAGACUUUGCUGAAGUUUCAAAUGUUUGCUAGGGCUUUUGCCUAUUCUGUGCAAUUGCAUUACAGCUACUGAGUGUAGUUCCCUCUCCUUGGCUACCAUUGACUUAGAACUGAGAAGAUUUUUGACACCUAACACUCGAUUCCCCUUCAUACAGAAACAUCUUCAAUUACCUCAUGUUAUUUUGAAACUUCAUGAUCAAAGUUCUUUCUCAUCUGUUCCAAUUACAUUGAAGUUCCUUUUGACUCUUGCACGUGUGAGAGGAGGUGUUGAAAUGCUCCUUAGUGCCGGUUUCUUCUCAUCUCUUAGAGCUUUGUUUGCAUAUUCAUCCGGUGUUGUGCCUUCCACAAUUAUGACAAAUGAUAAGGUCUUCAUAAAACAUUCUGACAAAACAGAAAAGCCUCAAACUAUCUGGGGCCUUGGCUUGGCAGUGGUCGUAGCUAUGAUUCACUCGUUAGGAGACAGUUCUUAUACUGAGAUUCUGGACAAGGUGAUUCCUUGUGUUUUAUCAGAGAAAGCUGAACUGAUUUCUUAUUAUAUCAGUGCACCUGAUUUUCCAUCUGAUAGUCGUGACAAGAAAAGACCACUGGCUCAAAGGACACAGACUUCUAUGAGUGCUCUUAAAGAAACAGAACAUACUCUCAUGUUGAUGUGUGUGCACUAGCUAAACAUUGGAGGUGAUGGGUUAAGGUCAUGAAAGAAAUGGAUUCAGAGCUGCUGGAGAAAAGUAUUCAUCUAUUAGCCUUUAUUAGUCCAGGAACUCAUCGCGUUGGAGAAUCUUCCAGAGGAGUUAGAAUUCUGCAAGAAACCAUCAUUUUUAAAAAGCAGGAAUGGAUUGUUUUCUCUUCCACCUCUCUGUUGUGCAUCAAAGCCCAUGUCUUCUGCUUUCUCAGUCAUCACUACUGCUACUGUAGGCAAGGGCCAUUCAACUAAAUUACCAAUCCAGUUUCUUCAGACUUGGUUGCCCUGCAUAUUUAUAGGAUCUCUUUUCUUCUCUUGAAAUACCUCUGUAUGGAAACAGAGGGCGCUGCUAAAAGAUCAGAGGAAGUGGGGUUUGCUGAUCUAACUCAGAUUCCUGAGCUGCCAAUGCCGGAGAUAUUGCAUGGCUUGCAGGAUCAGGCAGUUGCUGUUGUUCCGGAACUUUGUGGUUCAAACAAAUCAAAGUACAUCGAUCCUGAAAUCCAGCCAGUCUGUCCCUUACUACUACCGAUAGUGGAGAUGGCCCUAUAUUUGGAGUUCUGCGUUUUACAGAUUUGUGGAAUAAGCCCUGUAUUAGGGCGUGUGGAGGAAUUUUCGAAGGAAGCAAAAUAGUUGUCAAAAGGUAACAGCCCUUUCAUACUGCUAACUAUAUUCUGAAUUAAUAUUUUAGAUUUACUAUUAUAAUUGCCUUUGCUUUUUUUUUUUUGUAAGCCAUGGAAGUCCAUGCAUUCUUUAAAGCAUCAGUCACAUCCUUGAAACAUUUAACAUCUCUUGUCUAUCCCGUAUUGUUACAGACCGAAGGUUUUAGGCGAACUUAGUUGGGUGAGUAACAGAUCAUGAAAAUCCUGUACAGAUAUCAGAAUUAAGCAUGGCCAAGAUAUUUGCAUGAUUACAACGUAAAACUCUGUAUAACAUCAACAUGUGACAAUAUCAGAACCAUACAUCAUUGAUUAUCGCUUGGAUUUUCAUGGUUCCUCUAGCUCAGUGAAGGAAUAUCACACAAAUAUAAUGAAGAUGGUGCCAAAUAUCAUCGAUCUGGCGUUGUUUCGCAGUCAUCCUCUUUCCAUGAUUUUAAGGUGCCCUGUUACAAGAUAUGCCUUCCAGCAAGGGAUUAUAAUUAUUUCUCGAUCAUGCACCGACUGCUGCCUUCCAGCAAGGGAUUAUAAUUAUUUCUCGAUCAUGCACCGACUGCUGUAAUGAUGUAGGGAAAUGAAUUUUUCUAGGGGGACUGAAUUUUCACUUUUGUGCUUGAAUGGGCCCUGCCCCCUUUGCAUGCGUGAUGCCACAAGGUAGCAUGUUUUUGUGGUGAGACAAUUGUUGAAAAAAAAACAACUGCAUAUUAUUGCAGCUCUUGACAAGACAUGUAUCUUUGUCUCUCUUUUUAUGUAGGAGGUAAUGCUAUUCAUCCAGGAACAGGUCUCAAGUAAUUAGUUACUCCAAUAGUAUCUAUCAAUCAUGCGUUGUCAUGUAGAAUUUCCCUUCAUUGAUUCCAGAUCGAUAUCCAUGUCACCAAAAAUCAUCUUGAAAAAUUAAUCUGGUAUUUAU